GACGAACGCUGGCGGCGUGCUUAACACAUGCAAGUCGAACGGAAAGGCCCUGCUUUUGUGGGGUGCUCGAGUGGCGAACGGGUGAGUAACACGUGAGUAACCUGCCCUUGACUUUGGGAUAACUUCAGGAAACUGGGGCUAAUACCGGAUAGGAGCUCCUGCUGCAUGGUGGGGGUUGGAAAGUUUCGGCGGUUGGGGAUGGGCUCGCGGCUUAUCAGCUUGUUGGUGGGGUAGUGGCUUACCAAGGCUUUGACGGGUAGCCGGCCUGAGAGGGUGACCGGCCACAUUGGGACUGAGAUACGGCCCAGACUCCUACGGGAGGCAGCAGUGGGGAAUAUUGCACAAUGGGCGGAAGCCUGAUGCAGCAACGCCGCGUGCGGGAUGACGGCCUUAGGGUUGUAAACCGCUUUCGCCUGUGACGAAGCGUGAGUGACGGUAAUGGGUAAAGAAGCACCGGCUAACUACGUG
RNAcentral lists this ribosomal RNA (468 nucleotides) under uncultured bacterium. RNAcentral describes it as "partial 16S ribosomal RNA". It matches the Rfam family "Bacterial small subunit ribosomal RNA", at positions 28 to 507 of the family's 1533-position model. The record is from RNAcentral.